Molecule: ribosomal RNA, 285 nt
Filed under: uncultured bacterium
Lineage: Bacteria
Description: partial 16S ribosomal RNA
Rfam family: Bacterial small subunit ribosomal RNA
Source: RNAcentral
AAACCUACGGGACGCAGCAGUGGGGAAUAUUGCACAAUGGGGGAAACCCUGAUGAGGCAACGCCGCGUGAAGGAAGACGGUUUUCGGAUUGUAAACUUCUGUUCUUAGUGAAGAAAAAUGACGGUAGCUAAGGAGCAAGCCACGGCUAACUACGUGCCAGCAGCCGCGGUAAUACGUAGGUGGCAAGCGUUGUCCGGAAUUACUGGGUGUAAAGGGAGCGCAGGCGGGAAGGCAAGUCAGCAGUGAAAACUACGGGCGUAACUUGUAGACUGGAGUUGAAACUGG